GACGAACGCUGGCGGCGUGCCUAACACAUGCAAGUGGAGCGACGAACCAGGGCUUGCCCUGGGGCCAAGCCGCGAACGGGUGAGUAUCACGUGGGUAACCUACCCCGAUGACCGGGACAACCCGAGGAAGCUCGGGCUAAUACCGGAUGUGGUGUACACACAUAAGUGUGUCCACUAAAGGAAGCUUCGGCCUCCACAUUGGGAUGGGCCCGCGGCCCAUUAGCUUGUUGGUGGGGUAAUGGCCUACCAAGGCAACGAUGGGUAGCUGGUCUGCGAGGAUGAUCAGCCAGACUGGUACUGAGACACGGCCAGGACUCCUCCGGGAGGCAGCAGUUGGGAAGCUUGCGCAAUGCGCGAAAGCGUGACGCGGCAACGCCGCGUGAGGGAAGACGGCCUUCGGGUUGUAAACCUCUUUCAGGAGGGACGAAGGUCCGCCCGCGAAUAGCGAGGCGGAUUGACGGUACCUCCAGAAGAAGCCCCGGCUAACUACGUGCCAGCCGCCGCCGUAA
RNAcentral lists this ribosomal RNA (509 nucleotides) under uncultured bacterium. RNAcentral describes it as "partial 16S ribosomal RNA". It matches the Rfam family "Bacterial small subunit ribosomal RNA", at positions 28 to 523 of the family's 1533-position model. The record is from RNAcentral.